UCUAAUAAAAAUGUUAAUAUUUCAUUAGAAAAUGAAAAAGUUAGGAAUUACAAGAAUGUAAAACCUAUACUUUGGUCUCAUAGCAAAAAAGAAUAAAAAACAUGGAAGCAAAUAUCAAUCGGUCCAUCGACAUCAACAAAAACAGUUAAGCUUUUGAAAACAAUGAAUCGAUACAACAAUUUUAAUGAAUCGCAUAUAAGACACCUCAAAGAGGAAGAUAAUGCUGUCAAACGGCAAAGGUCGAAACAAUGAAAACCCAAGUGGAUGGAAGCCUUUCACCGGUAGGCCGAGAACACUGAGCCGUCAACGGCGAAACACACAUAGCACACGAAAAUCUCAAAUAUAACCA
This 349-nucleotide small RNA is filed under the name Arabidopsis thaliana (thale cress). Its description in RNAcentral is "ATSL009580". Lineage: Eukaryota; Viridiplantae; Streptophyta; Magnoliopsida; Brassicales; Brassicaceae. The record is from RNAcentral.